UGUCAGUGUACUUAAUAACUUGACAAGAAGAUUUAUGUAGUUUAUAUUUAUAAUACUUUUGAUCGUGUUUACAUUUUUUUUUUGACCGGAGAAUCGUACGGAAUAGAGUGUUUACGUUGUACAGACGCUGUCCUGAACGGUUCUUCUAUCCCGUCUGCAGUAAAAUUCUUGCUGUCUACAUUUGAAUCGACUUACAGAACACCAGAAUGUGAAAAUGCUCAAACUGCUCAGGCGGCUUCAGAUGUUACAUUGAAUACGUGCACGGACGCCCCUGGUCCAGGACAAGUUAAUAGAUGUGGAAGACUGAUUGGGACACUGAAGGUGUCGAUAGACCCCCCAUUUUUCGAUAAAAUAGAAUUGCCUAUUCAUUUCCACAUCAGAGGAUGUUUCAGUCAUUAGGUGGAGGGUGUUAUCGAGACAAACGAAUUAUUGAUCAGCAGAGAGGUGUUUUGUCUAAUGUCCUGAAAGGAAUAUCUUCCUUGCAACUUGGGGAAUUCAAUGGUGUGCUCUGCAUAAAUGGAGCUAACAACUUGGAUGCAUGGAGACUUAAUAGGACAAUCAGACAUGCUUAUUCCUCGUCAAUUUUAUUUCUCUGUGCUAUUGCUUCAAUAAUUUUCCUAAACAAAACAUAUUAAGCAUAAUUUAUACAAGUGCAUACAUAUCAUGUUUAAAAAAAAUUGAUUGGAAAAUUCCUACAUUUCUUUCUCUUGUCUUCUAUGAGGGUUAUGUACGACAAUUUUGAUGACUCCAGUUUUUAUUAUAUGCAUUUUUAUUUA
Mytilus californianus (California mussel) is the source of this 776-nucleotide long non-coding RNA. RefSeq lists it as uncharacterized. The record is from RefSeq and is a predicted model, not a curated record. The transcript has 3 exons. Lineage: Eukaryota; Metazoa; Mollusca; Bivalvia; Mytilida; Mytilidae.